AUGAUGUGAUUGGAUGGGGCUGAGAGGAUGACAGAGCUGCAGCCAUAUAAGAAUCAGGAACAUCACUGCAACCUGUAUCCUGAGAACAAAACAUUGAGAGGCUUUUAUCUGUUGGCUUGAGAAAUGUUAAGGAACUGCCCGUUGAAUUAGCAGUGUCAGCCCUGGGAAAACAGGAACGGCAGUGUUCUCAGAGGAAGUCUCAUUUAAGGUAGAAGAAUGAGGAAACAUCUUCAGCUGCAUAGCCCAUCAAGGUCAUUUACAUAAUCUGGGAACAUCCAGAAAUCUUUCAGGCUUUUUCAGCCACAUCUUUAGAAAGCCUGUUUUCCUGCAUGUAUUUUACGCCUUUUGCUUCUUGCUGCCGAUUGACGGACAUCUGGCAGAGCUUGCCAUGGAUUUCUGCCAUGCAGUUACUCCUGCUGUCCCUGCCGUCUGCAUUUCGCAUAUUACCUUGGAUGAUUUUCAAACCGAGUUCAGUCCCUCUGCUCUUGUUACGGUUUGGAGGGAUUUAUGACGCUUCGGUGGAUAGCCAGCCCCACCUUCUUCCUGGUGCAGAUGGAUGGCAAUUGCUACCUUCAAGGUUGAAUUUCACAUCCAGAUGGGAUGGCUCCGACUUUGCAAGCAGCCCUGGUUGGUUAGGGUCCUGCUGAAUGCAAUCUGGUUUCCUGUUGGUCCCGCUUGGGUGCAUCCAUAUGGAACCACUUCUCAGAGCAAGUCCUAUCAUUUCUCCAGAGCCUGUGUUUAUAAGGCAAACAGCAGCGUUUUUGGUGAAUGUGGAAAGGACGGAUGGAUAUCUAUUUACAUGUUAAGCACUAGAAUUGAAAAGGAUGUGGGACUUUUUAAGGGCACAAUGUCCAUUUGAAAAUAAGUAUCUUUCUUUCUCCAGAAAAUGUAUUUAUGCAUUUUACAAAAACAACAACAACAAAAAACCUCUGCAAGAGAUGAUUCCAAGAUACAAGGCAGAACGGAGUGGACCACGAUUCCUUUCCCUCAGGAAAGACUCAAGUUACUUCGAAUUUGAAUGCAACAAGGCAUGUUGCAUGGGAAGCCCGAGCUUGAGACAGAUGAUACUCUUCCUUCACCGUAAGCUCCAGAGAAUUAGGCAUUCGCAGGACAUGGCAAAAGUGAAGCCUGGAAGUACCUUUCUAUUAUCCAGUAACAGGUAUUUACUGUGAGAUAUGAUGGCACAACACCAGAGGGAUCUUGGGUAUAGUACCAGUUCUGCAGGCCAUUGGUACACAUAAGGAUUGGGGGUCAGGAUCACAAGUAGAGAUGGCUCAUGCCAGUUCAGCAAUUUGUGCCAGGUUGUUUUUUG
This 1312-nucleotide long non-coding RNA is filed under the name Pogona vitticeps (central bearded dragon). RNAcentral's name for it is "lncRNA (ENSPVIG00000022740.1)". Lineage: Eukaryota; Metazoa; Chordata; Lepidosauria; Squamata; Agamidae. The record is from RNAcentral.